Molecule: ribosomal RNA, 558 nt
Filed under: uncultured Acidobacteriota bacterium
Lineage: Bacteria; Pseudomonadati; Acidobacteriota
Description: bacterial SSU rRNA
Rfam family: Bacterial small subunit ribosomal RNA
Source: RNAcentral
GGCGGCGUGCCUAACACAUGCAAGUCGAACGAGAAAGGGACUUCGGUCCUGAGUAUAGUGGCGCACGGGUGAGUAACACGUGACUAAUCUACCCUCGAGUGGGGAAUAACUGAGAGAAAUCUUAGCUAAUACCGCAUAACACUUACGAGUCAAAGCAGCAAUGCGCUUGGGGAGGAGGUCGCGGCCGAUUAGCUAGUUGGCGGGGUAAUGGCCCACCAAGGCGAUGAUCGGUAUCCGGCCUGAGAGGGCGCACGGACACACUGGAACUGAAACACGGUCCAGACUCCUACGGGAGGCAGCAGUGGGGAAUUUUGCGCAAUGGGGGAAACCCUGACGCAGCAACGCCGCGUGGAGGAUGAAGUAUCUCGGUACGUAAACUCCUUUCGAUGGGGAAGAUAAUGACGGUACCCAUAGAAGAAGCCCCGGCUAACUUCGUGCCAGCAGCCGCGGUAAUACGAGGGGGGCAAGCGUUGUUCGGAUUUAUUGGGCGUAAAGGGUGCGUAGGCGGUUUGGCAAGUCUUGUGUGAAAUCUAUGGGCUCAACCCAUAGCCUGCACGA